CUGCGGAGGGAUCAUUACAAGUGACCCCGGUCUUACCACCGGGAUGUUCAUAACCCUUUGUUGUCCGACUCUGUUGCCUCCGGGGCGACCCUGCCUUCGGGCGGGGGCUCCGGGUGGACACUUCAAACUCUUGCGUAACUUUGCAGUCUGAGUAAACUUAAUUAAUAAAUUAAAACUUUUAACAACGGAUCUCUUGGUUCUGGCAUCGAUGAAGAACGCAGCGAAAUGCGAUAAGUAAUGUGAAUUGCAGAAUUCAGUGAAUCAUCGAAUCUUUGAACGCACAUUGCGCCCCCUGGUAUUCCGGGGGGCAUGCCUGUUCGAGCGUCAUUUCACCACUCAAGCCUCGCUUGGUAUUGGGCAACGCGGUCCGCCGCGUGCCUCAAAUCGACCGGCUGGGUCUUCUGUCCCCUAAGCGUUGUGGAAACUAUUCGCUAAAGGGUGUUCGGGAGGCUACGCCGUAAAACAACCCCAUUUCUAAGGUUGACCUCGGAUCAGGUAGG
RNAcentral lists this ribosomal RNA (500 nucleotides) under Cladosporium cladosporioides. RNAcentral's name for it is "eukaryotic LSU rRNA". The stretch from base 174 to 327 matches the Rfam family "5.8S ribosomal RNA". The record is from RNAcentral. Lineage: Eukaryota; Fungi; Ascomycota; Dothideomycetes; Cladosporiales; Cladosporiaceae.